Oncorhynchus kisutch (coho salmon) is the source of this 506-nucleotide long non-coding RNA. RefSeq lists it as uncharacterized. NCBI's taxonomy places the organism in Eukaryota, Metazoa, Chordata, Actinopteri, Salmoniformes, Salmonidae. The record is from RefSeq and is a predicted model, not a curated record. The transcript is spliced from 3 exons.
CAUUUUGACGGUUCCUCACAUGAUGACCGUGUCGACAAGGAUUUGAUGCGUCUUAAUAAUUAAACCAGCCUGUUAAUCGAAUACAUUGUUAUACCUGGGUCUUACAAAACCAGGCAAACAUAGAGAUCUGCAAGCUUAUUUUCCUCGCUGCGAAUCCUGUUUGUCACUGGUGAAGGUUAGCUAAAACUGUAUAGCAAGGUUAGCAAAACAUUACUGUGAAGAUGAUGAGGAAGACUGUUACGACGAAGCUUCUGGGAUCCAUGCGAGGGUCCCCAAGCACCGAGUAAACUAUGCCGUGAAUGCUGUUGCGAGAGAAUUGAUCAAAAGUAGGGAACUGGAGAACGAUGAGUUGCGACCUCUGUACAUGGAUUUUCAAGCAACAACACCAAUGGAUCCAAGAGUUCUGGAUGCAAUGCUUCCCUAUCAAGUUAAUUAUUAUGGUAACCCUCACUCCAGAACACAUGCAUAUGGCUGGGAAAGUGAAAGUGCAAUGGAAAAAGCUAAAG